UUUGCCUACGGGGCGCAGCAGUAGGGAAUUUUCGGCAAUGGGCGAAAGCCUGACCGAGCAACGCCGCGUGAGGGAGGAAGUCCUUCGGGAUGUAAACCUCUGUUAUAAAGGAAGAACGGUAACUGCAGGGAAUGGCAGUUAAGUGACGGUACUUUAUGAGGAAGCCACGGCUAACUACGUGCCAGCAGCCGCGGUAAUACGUAGGUGGCGAGCGUUAUCCGGAAUUAUUGGGCGUAAAGAGGGAGCAGGCUGCUGAACAGGUCUGUGGUGAAAGCCCGAAGCUAAACUUCGGUAAGCCAUGGAAA
This 305-nucleotide ribosomal RNA is filed under the name uncultured bacterium. Its description in RNAcentral is "bacterial SSU rRNA". It matches the Rfam family "Bacterial small subunit ribosomal RNA", at positions 334 to 632 of the family's 1533-position model. The record is from RNAcentral.